RNAcentral lists this long non-coding RNA (562 nucleotides) under Numida meleagris (helmeted guineafowl). RNAcentral's name for it is "lncRNA (ENSNMEG00000012297.1)". The record is from RNAcentral. Lineage: Eukaryota; Metazoa; Chordata; Aves; Galliformes; Numididae.
AUGCAUACUGAAGAAUGGGAAUGCUUUUGGAUUAAGAGCUCCUUGAAGAAACAGAAAUGUGAAAGGACGAGCAGGAGGGGUGAUUUCAUGACUUCCCUUGGGUGCUGGAUAGUUUUUGGCUGGUUUCGUCUUCUAACUGGAAAGAAUAUGUGGUACAACCAGGACCUUAAAAUAAAGGAAGAGCUGGAAGGGAUUUGGGGCAGAAGGAGAAACUGUGAUAUGAUGGCUAUAGAAGGAAAUGCUUCAGAGCUGAAAUUCGUAUGAAUUAAAGGUUACAAUAAGUGAAACAGAUUCACAGAAAGUACAGGCAUUAUCAGCAUGCUUUUUCCUCCUUCCCAUUCUUUGAAGCCUGCCAAUAUUGUGGAAAGUGGCCAGAGAAAUGGAAGCAGUCUGUAUUUAUAAGCCUAAUGAGCAAGCAUAAGACUUUGGACUAAUCUAAGAGAGUGGUGGGAAAAAAAAGGUGCCAAAACCAGUUCUCAAACACUUCACAGCAUCAUUUUUUUAGAAACUGGAAGAUAUAUCUUUCUGCUUGGCAUGUAAAUAAAGAUAUCAGCAAAACGCA